AGGACAGGAGCUGGAAAGAGCUCCUUGAUCAAUGCGAUUGUGAAUGAAAAACAUCUUCUACCAUCUGGGGGGUUUCAAGCCUGCACUUCCGUCAUCGUGUACGUAGAGGCCAACACUAAGUCUGACAAAUACAGAGCAGACAUUGAUUUAAUGAGCAAACAGGAGUGGGAUGCGGAGCUACGCUUCCUGCUGGAAACACUCUCUAAUGAUCAGGAGGACAGAACUGAUGCUGACACUGAGUACGAUGAUGACGCUGAUGAGAUGCGAGACAUGGCUAAAGAAAAAAUCAAGUCACUUUACGGAGAGGAUGGACUUGAAAAAGGUUAUGAUGAAUUGGUGGGAAACAAGAAAGUCUCAGAUAUUCUGAAAAACUGCAGCAUUUCUUUGACUUACGACACAGCUGAAGAGCUGUCGGACGAA
Molecule: long non-coding RNA, 420 nt
Organism: Scleropages formosus (Asian bonytongue)
Lineage: Eukaryota; Metazoa; Chordata; Actinopteri; Osteoglossiformes; Osteoglossidae
Exons: 3
Source: RefSeq, a predicted model, not a curated record